UACGUAGGUGGCAAGCGUUAUCCGGAAUUAUUGGGCGUAAAGAGCGCGCAGGUGGUUAAUUAAGUCUGAUGUGAAAGCCCACGGCUUAACCGUGGAGGGUCAUUGGAAACUGGUUGACUUGAGUGCAGAAGAGGGAAGUGGAAUUCCAUGUGUAGCGGUGAAAUGCGUAGAUAUUAGGAGGAACUCCGAUUGCGAAGGCAGCAUACCGGCGCCCUACUGACGCUGAGGCACGAAAGCGUGGGUAUCGAACAGG
This 253-nucleotide ribosomal RNA is filed under the name uncultured bacterium. RNAcentral's name for it is "partial 16S ribosomal RNA". It matches the Rfam family "Bacterial small subunit ribosomal RNA", at positions 524 to 776 of the family's 1533-position model. The record is from RNAcentral.